Molecule: long non-coding RNA, 358 nt
Organism: Eptesicus fuscus (big brown bat)
Lineage: Eukaryota; Metazoa; Chordata; Mammalia; Chiroptera; Vespertilionidae
Exons: 3
Source: RefSeq, a predicted model, not a curated record
ACAAGGGCUCCCUUCUUCAGAGGCCCCGCCCCGGGCAAGCAGCUUCCAGAAGCUUCCAGAGAACCUUUUAGGUUGCUAAAGCCGUUAAAGCUCCAUGUCCCCAAACCAUGAAGGAGUUCAGGAUUCGGUUCCUCAGUGAGGAGAGAAGACCCUUGCAUUGCCCUCGUCUCCAUCAGCUGAGCGGACUCCGCUCCUGCUCAGCUGUCACUCGUCGCUCAGAAAACAGUCAAGGAAACGGGUGAGGUGCAGCGGGCGCCGGGCCUUUGGGGACACAGCGGAAGUGGACAGACUGGCCCUGCGUUGUCCAGCGCUGCCCGGGGCUCCGAGCCCAUGUGCUUCCAUGCCGAGAGGAGGGAUG